CUUAUUGUUGUGUGUCAACUCAUAAACACCUCUUUCAAAGGAAGGAGCCUUUAGCAGUUCUUUAUAGAAUGAGUAAUAAAUGGCGCUGUCACCCUGAAAUGUAAUUUCUCGUUCAAGUUCCUGCCUGCUGGAAAACCAGAAUUUCCGUUCAUGAUAUGUGGAGAGGUACACAGCAUACAUCAUCCCACUAGUGACUGCCGCAAGACAGCCAAAGAAAAGUUUCGCAAAACGCUGAAUUAACAUAUAUUUUGGCGACCUUCCCAGCUUCGAGUUUUCUUUGUGUCUCUCCUCUGGAGCCAUUUUGUCAGAUUCUGUGCAGUUUUGUUUCCUCCUCUGUCGCAGGUCUGCUGCCCCUUCCUCCAUCCUGCGGCCGCCGCCCGCCGCCGGGGCCCCGCGCCGCUCCGUGCGGGGCGGCGAGGCCGCCCCCCCCGCGUUCCGUCCGCCGCCGCCGCCCCCCUCUCGUCGGCCCCGCGGGCGGGAGCGCUCUCGCAUACCACGGCGAGCGGGAACGCCGCGGCCCCGCACUUCCUGGCGUCGCCGCCGUGCCGCUGCCGGGCGCCUGCCGCGGGGGAACGGUGGCGGCGGGGCGAGGGAGGCGGCGGGGCGCGGCGCGGCGUACCGAGGCGGUACCGAGGCAGGCGGCGCGCUCUGCCCCGCUUCCGGGGGAAGGCUCUGCCCCUCGGGCUUCCCGGCCGCGGAGCUCUAUGGAAAUAAAAAGGCGGUAGCGCCGCGCUCUGCCGCCUCCGCCUGGUGGCCCGGCUGCAGCCCGGGGAAGGUCCUCACAGGGGAGGCUGUGGGGCAGUGGGCCCAGUGCGGCACUGCGGGUUUGUAGCUGCAACGCUGAUGUUUGCCAUUACGGCCUCCUUUUAGGGGAAGAGGCCUUGUUUGGGUAAAAGGAGGGCAGUGGACGAGCAUAGGGACACGGGGAACCCGGCGUCCCAGUUAUCAGCGCCCCGGCAAAGGAAGGGCUUGAGGGAAUGGGGUCAUUCCCUGCAUGCUGCCUGGCAGUGCCCUCAGACCCUAAGGGUUGGCAUGGACAGCUGUGUGGAAGUUAACAGAAGAGCUGGGAAGCGUUGUGUUUGCUGACAGGACCUCAGUCUUGGCAGGAGGAGUGAUUAAAGACUGAAUGAGGUUGGAAAAAACCACCACGAUCACCUGGUCCGACUGCCACCCCCACCGUGCCCACUAACCACGUCCUCAGUGCCACAUCUCAGUCCUUGAACACCUCCAGGGACGGUGACUCCCCCACCUCCCGGGGCAGCCCGUGCCGCUGCCUCACCGCUCUUCUGGGAAGGAAUCUUUCCUACUGUCCGUUCUGGGUCUUGGGAUGCAGCACCAAGCAGAGCCCCUGGGCUCGUUGAACCUCGCAGAAGCAAACUGUUGGACCGGCUGAUGGAGAACUUGUGGAAGUCACCCACUGGAACCGCAUGUCUGCCUGCAGCCAGGCUGCUGUCCCAUCAGCUGCUGGAAAGCUGAUUGGGUUUCUUGUCGGGCAGCUGAAAGGAAAAACUAAAGCAAUUUGUGUAUCCUGUCGGAGCGUAAAAUGAGAUUUAUAGGGUUCCUGGGUUUUUUAAUAAAAUUUAAAAUACUUCUGCAAUUGUUGAUUUAUUGGAUAGUUAAAAGAGUUGCUUAUGUUUUUAAUGAUCCAUAAAUUACCCGUUGCAUUUUUAAUGUAGUUUGGUUUUAUCUGGUUUUUUUUUUUUCGUAGCUUGAUUCUAUUAUAAGUUACUGGAAUGAGCACAAAUAAUCAUCGCAAUCAAAGCAACAAAAACAGGUUUAAAUACUUGUAAUCAGACCAUUAAUACAUGGACAGGAGCAAAAGAAACGACUGUACAGUUAUGCUGUAAAUUCUGGUCUUCUUAAGGCCUUCGUAGUACCACUUUCAUGCUGUACCUUCUUCCGUUUCUUGUGCAGUACUGCAGUGUGUCCAACCUGCUCCAUUGUUUGUAAUUUUUUCCAUGGUAUUUUGUGGAUUAACGGAAGGGAAGGGAAUCGAAGAUCAUUUUUCAUGCAAGUUUCUUCCUCUCAGCACAAAUGGGCUGAAAUACUUCUUUUGAUUAAUGUUGAAAAAAGUUCCUAAUGCAGCUCUUCAAUCUUUCAAAACACUUUCUAUAACUAGUGUUAUAUGCGAGUUCUUUCAUUUGGCAGCUUAUUAUGUGUCCUAAACACAGUGCUGUAAUACAUUAACGUGAAUAAAUAUAGGGAUGCUGGGUACUUUUCCCAAGCUUUCUCAGUACAAGCAUGAAUUGUGUAUCUGCAUUUUGGCAUUAGUCCUCUAUUUACAUACUACUUCCAAGCCCUGCAGACAUAACUUUUCUUUUUGUUUACAAGUCCACGUUAUUGAUGCUUUCUAGUUUAACAGUAUUUUUUUCCUGUUUUAGAGAUAUCGUGAGGCAAAUAAUACACAGGUGGACUUUAGAGUAAGGCAUUAAUAUUGGCCGUAUUUGUCAUUCUUCAAAAGAAGAAUGUGUAGUUCUUUGUAGCGUAGUAUGUGUAAUGUGUAGUAGAAGAAGGUGUACUUGUUUGUUUUGUGAACAUACAUACAAACACAUAUAUUUUAGUUAGAGAGAGAAAAUACUUCCCAUGCCCCAAAAUGCUGUAAAGUUUUGUUUCAAUAACUGCUGCAGGUACUUCACCUGUUUGGCCUUUUGAGGUGUUCAUUUUGUGGCUGUUCUGUGGUGUCAGCAUCCCAAGUUUUUGCUUAUUUUAACUAUUUCGGACCCUUUCCUCCUCAAAGCUGUUUGUUCUGCUGGGAUGUAAAAAAUACGACCUAUAUAAGAUCUAGGUUUUUCACUGUGCUGUCCCGUCUGAUAUGGGAAAUUCAAGGAAUUAAGUGCAGGGAAAAAGGAGGAUAAUGACAGCAUGCAAUCGUUACUUAAAAUCAGAACCAAGAAGUCCGAAAAUUAAACUGCAUAAAAAGAAAUAAACUGUUUAAAACUCUGUUUUUCCAGGGUGUGAUUUCCCUGUGUUUCUGUGUUGUCCUCUUGUCCAAACCCUAUUUAUCGUGCUGGAUAAGUAGGGUUUGGACAAGAAAUUGUCAGGUUGGGCAAUUCUUGAUGGAAGCAUCAGGUGCAUCUUCUGUGCCACGUUGUUCAGAGGUGGUUGCAGGAAGCCUUUCUAUUCAGAUUUUUUUAUAGAACCAUAGAGAACCUUUGGGAUUUCUCCACCUGUUUAACCCUCUUCCUACUUUACAGUGCUUCUGAUCACUUCAGCUAUUGCUGCAUUGCCC
RNAcentral lists this long non-coding RNA (3229 nucleotides) under Gallus gallus (chicken). Lineage: Eukaryota; Metazoa; Chordata; Aves; Galliformes; Phasianidae. The record is from RNAcentral.